This 67-nucleotide transfer RNA is filed under the name Marmota monax (woodchuck). Its description in RNAcentral is "tRNA.Ala". The record is from RNAcentral. Lineage: Eukaryota; Metazoa; Chordata; Mammalia; Rodentia; Sciuridae.
GGUUGUGGCUCAGUGGUAGAGCGCUCGCCUAGCAUGUGCGAGGCCCUGGGCUUAAUCCUCACCAUCA